AACGAACGCUGGCGGCAGGCCUAACACAUGCAAGUCGAACGAAAUCUUCGGGGUUAGUGGCGCACGGGUGAGUAACGCGUGGGAACGUGCCCUUUGGUUCGGAAUAACUCAGGGAAACGGGUGCUAAUACCGAAUGUGUCCUUCGGGCCAAAGAUUUAUCGCCAUUGGAGGGGCCCGCGUUUGAUUAGCUAGUUGGUGAGGUAACGGCUCACCAAGGCGACGAUCAGUAGCUGGUCUGAGAGGAUGACCAGCCACACUGGGACUGAGACACGGCCCAGACUCCUACGGGAGGCAGCAGUGGGGAAUCUUGCGCAAUGGGCGAAAGCCUGACGCAGCCAUGCCGCGUGAGUGAUGAAGGUCUUAGGGUUGUAAAGUUCUUUUACCCGGGACGAUAAUGACGGUACCCGGAGAAGAAGCCCCGGCUAACUCCGUG
RNAcentral lists this ribosomal RNA (433 nucleotides) under uncultured bacterium. Its description in RNAcentral is "partial 16S ribosomal RNA". It matches the Rfam family "Bacterial small subunit ribosomal RNA", at positions 29 to 507 of the family's 1533-position model. The record is from RNAcentral.